This 71-nucleotide transfer RNA is filed under the name Bos taurus (domestic cattle). It matches the Rfam family "tRNA". From Rfam's summary of the family: Transfer RNA (tRNA) molecules are approximately 80 nucleotides in length. Their secondary structure includes four short double-helical elements and three loops (D, anti-codon, and T loops). Further hydrogen bonds mediate the characteristic L-shaped molecular structure. tRNAs have two regions of fundamental functional importance: the anti-codon, which is responsible for specific mRNA codon recognition, and the 3' end, to which the tRNAs corresponding amino acid is attached (by aminoacyl-tRNA synthetases). tRNAs cope with the degeneracy of the genetic code in two manners: having more than one tRNA (with a specific anti-codon) for a particular amino acid; and 'wobble' base-pairing, i.e. permitting non-standard base-pairing at the 3rd anti-codon position. Lineage: Eukaryota; Metazoa; Chordata; Mammalia; Artiodactyla; Bovidae. RNAcentral also lists the same sequence under 5 other names. The record is from Rfam by way of RNAcentral.
UCCCAAGUGGCUCAGUGGUAAAGAAUCCACCUUCCAAGCGGGAGACACAGGUUCAAUCCCUGAGUCGGGAA